CAGAAAAUAGUUUAAAUAAAAACAUGAACUUUGGGAGUUUAAGAUAGAUAUUCUUUUUCUGA
RNAcentral lists this transfer RNA (62 nucleotides) under Tettigades sp. 1 PL2017. RNAcentral's name for it is "tRNA-Pro". The record is from RNAcentral. Lineage: Eukaryota; Metazoa; Arthropoda; Insecta; Hemiptera; Cicadidae.